UAUGGCCACAUCAUGUUGAAACAUCGGUUCCCAUAUGAUCACCAAAGUUAUGCAGUGUUAAGCUUGGUCAGUACCUUGCAAGGUGACCACUUAGGAAUACCAGGUGCUGUAAG
This is a non-coding RNA of Acanthosepion pharaonis, 113 nucleotides long. The record is from the annotation of a GenBank genome assembly. NCBI's taxonomy places the organism in Eukaryota, Metazoa, Mollusca, Cephalopoda, Sepiida, Sepiidae.